AAAACCUUGCGCUUUUGGAGCGGCCGAUGCCUGAUUAGCUUGUUGGUAAGGUAAAAGCUUACCAAGGCUUCGAUCAGUAGCUGGUCUGAGAGGACGACCAGCCACACUGGGACUGAGACACGGCCCAGACUCCUACGGGAGGCAGCAGUGGGGAAUUUUGGACAAUGGGGGCAACCCUGAUCCAGCCAUGCCGCGUGAGUGAAGAAGGCCUUCGGGUUGUAAAGCUCUUUCAGCCGGAACGAAACGGUUACGGAUAACACCCGUGACUACUGACGGUACCGGAAGAAGAAGCACCGGCUAACUACGUGCCAGCAGCCGCGGUAAUACGUAGGGUGCGAGCGUUAAUCGGAAUUACUGGGCGUAAAGCGUGCGCAGGUGGUUUUGUAAGUCAGAUGUGAAAGCCCCGGGCUCAACCUGGGAACU
This 423-nucleotide ribosomal RNA is filed under the name uncultured bacterium. RNAcentral's name for it is "bacterial SSU rRNA". It matches the Rfam family "Bacterial small subunit ribosomal RNA", at positions 207 to 622 of the family's 1533-position model. The record is from RNAcentral.